Molecule: ribosomal RNA, 810 nt
Filed under: uncultured Actinomycetes bacterium
Lineage: Bacteria; Bacillati; Actinomycetota; Actinomycetes
Description: bacterial SSU rRNA
Rfam family: Bacterial small subunit ribosomal RNA
Source: RNAcentral
UGCAAGCGUUGUCCGGAAUUAUUGGGCGUAAAGAGCUCGUACGUCGUUUGUUACGUCGGAUGUGAAAACCUGAGGCUCAACCUCAGGCCUGCAUUCGAUACGGGCAAACUAGAGUUUGGUAGGGGAGACUGGAAUUCCUGGUGUAGCGGUGGAAUGCGCAGAUAUCAGGAGGAACACCAAUGGCGAAGGCAGGUCUCUGGGCCAAUACUGACACUGAGGAGCGAAAGCCUGGGGAGCGAACAGGAUUAGAUACCCUGGUAGUCCAGACCGUAAACGGUGGGCACUAGUUGUGGGAACCUUCCACGGUUUCUGCGACGCAGCUAACGCAUUAAGUGCCCCGCCUGGGGAGUACGAUCGCAAGAUUAAAACUCAAAGGAACUGACGGGGCCCCGCACAAGCAGCGGAGCAUGCGGCUUAAUUCGACGCAACGCGAAGAACCUUACCAAGGCUUGACAUAUAGGGAAAAGUGGCAGAGAUGUCAUGUCCGCAAGGGCUCUAUACAGGUGGUGCAUGGUUGUCGUCAGCUCGUGUCGUGAGAUGUUGGGUUAAGUCCCGCAACGAGCGCAACCCUCGUUCUGUGUUGCCAGCAUUUAGUUGGGGACUCACAGGAGACUGCCGGGGUUAACUCGGAGGAAGGUGGGGAUGACGUCAAAUCAUCAUGCCCCUUAUGUCUUGGGCUGCACGCAUGCUACAAUGGCCGGUACAGAGGGCUGCAAUACCGUAAGGUGGAGCGAAUCCCAAAAAGCCGGUCUCAGUUCGGAUUGAGGUCUGCAACUCGACCUCAUGAAGUUGGAGUUGCUAGUAAUCGUA